Molecule: ribosomal RNA, 486 nt
Filed under: uncultured bacterium
Lineage: Bacteria
Description: partial 16S ribosomal RNA
Rfam family: Bacterial small subunit ribosomal RNA
Source: RNAcentral
GAUGAACGCUAGCGGCAGGCUUAACACAUGCAAGUCGAGGGGCAGCGCGGGAUAGCAAUAUCCUGGCGGCGACCGGCGGAAGGGUGCGUAACGCGUGAGCGACAUGCCCGUUGCCCGGGGACAACCGGUGGAAACGCCGACUAAUCCCCGAUGGGAUAUUGUGCCGCAUGGCACGAUAUUGAAAGUUACGGCGGCGACGGAUUGGCUCGCGUCCGAUUAGCUUGUUGGCGGGGUAACGGCCCACCAAGGCUGCGAUCGGUAGGGGUUCUGAGAGGAAGGCCCCCCACAAUGGGACUGAGCCACGGCCCAUACUCCUACGGGAGGCAGCAGUGAGGAAUAUUGGUCAAUGGGCGGAAGCCUGAACCAGCCAUGCCGCGUGCGGGAAGGAGGCCCUAUGGGCUGUGAACCGCUUUUGCCUGGGGGCAAUAAGGGCGUCGCGCACGUCCGAUGAGAGUACCAGGCGAAUAAGCAUCGGCUAACUCCGUG